GAGAGGGUAUGUAAUUUUGCUGAUGUCAUGAAGCUAGACUCAGACCCUCUCUGAAAGUAGAGGCUCCAGGAACAAAAUUUGAUGUCUUCUUUCCAUCCUGGGAAUGGACAUAAUGAUAGUCGGAGGUCUGUGUUUUAUGCCAAUGAAAAGUGGGAAUUUUUAGACCCAACCCCUAAGGACCUAGAGGAGUCCAUAGUACAGGAAGAAAAGAAGGAGCCAACCCCUGAAGGAAACAAAGUUUCACAAAGGCUGAAAAAUUUGCCUCAUACUUCCCUCAAAGCCAAACAGUUGCUUCAAACUUCAUCUACAAAUAGAGGAUUUGUACCUCAAUUGAUGGAAUAUUGGUAAUUCUUCUACUCCAUUUGAAGAUGAAAAAUAAAGGCCAAAAUCAUAGGCCUGGCACAGAAGCUGGAUAAUGAAGACAGCUCCGGAGGAACACAUAGAUACACACACAUAUAGACACACACAUAUAUAAAGUACACAGACAUAUUAUUUUUAAAGUUUAUUUUUUAAAGUUUUAAAGUUUCUAAAAUGAAAGCUGGCCCUGCCUCUCUCCCAGAGUGAGCGGAGACAGCGGUUGCAUGAGCAGCUUUCCUUGUGAGGCCACAGGUCCCUCUGGACACGCUGCUGCCUGACCAUGCCUCCUUUCCCUUUCAGCUUUCUCAUAGACCAAUGGGCUUGGAGCAUUAAGGCCAUACCCCUAUUAUGCAUUCUAGUGCGACCUUGUUUACACCUCCCCUGGCUCAGUCACACAGCUGUGUGGUAGGCUACUAGAAGUGUUUAGUAGUUGUCACUGGGAUCAUGCUGAUGUGGCCCCAUCCCCGCCUCUCCCUGCCCUGUGAUAUCGGAGGAAACCUGACAGAGCAAAUUGGCCAUGGCCAAGAAAAAGGAAAAGAAAGAGUGCCACCAAAAGCAGGGAGCCCUAAGGGAGCAGUUACAGGAGUCUGAGGAUCUGGCCAGCCGCCUUUAGUAUUCCAGGCAGUGUGUGGGAGAGUUGGAGCAGGCUCUCUGCUGUCUCCACACAGCAGAAGAAAG
Molecule: long non-coding RNA, 1035 nt
Filed under: Homo sapiens (human)
Lineage: Eukaryota; Metazoa; Chordata; Mammalia; Primates; Hominidae
Description: non-protein coding lnc-DEPDC4-2:6
Source: RNAcentral